UCCCUGGUGGUCUAAUGGUUAGGAUUUGGCACUUUCACUGCUACACUCCAGGCUCAAUCCCUGGUCUGGGAA
Molecule: transfer RNA, 72 nt
Filed under: Sus scrofa (pig)
Lineage: Eukaryota; Metazoa; Chordata; Mammalia; Artiodactyla; Suidae
Rfam family: tRNA
About the family: Transfer RNA (tRNA) molecules are approximately 80 nucleotides in length.
Source: Rfam by way of RNAcentral